UUCCGAAAAAGGCAAAUUUGUCGAAAGAUGAAGACGCAAAGUUUCAGACCUAACGCCUAACGGCUAUGGUGGCUGAACUACCGAA
RNAcentral lists this non-coding RNA (85 nucleotides) under Psychrobacillus sp. FJAT-21963. RNAcentral's name for it is "c-di-GMP-I riboswitch aptamer". It matches the Rfam family "c-di-GMP-I riboswitch aptamer". From Rfam's summary of the family: GEMM was predicted in a large-scale screen for bacterial structured RNA regulatory elements. Lineage: Bacteria; Bacillati; Bacillota; Bacilli; Caryophanales; Bacillaceae. RNAcentral also lists the same sequence under 1 other name. The record is from Rfam by way of RNAcentral.